GUGACCCCACCUACAGGGAACUCAUAGAACAGCUACAGAACAAGCCUUCAGACCUGGGCACGAAACUACAGGAUCCCCAGGUCAUGACUACUCUCAGUGUCCUCCUUGGGGUUGAUCUGGGCAGCAUGGAUGAAGAGGAAGAAGCAGCAACACCUCCACCCCCACCACCUCCCAAAAAGGAGGCCAAGCCAGAACCAAUGGAAGAAGAUCUUCCAGAGAAUAAGAAACAGGCAUUGAAAGAAAAGGAGUUGGGAAAUGAUGCCUACAAGAAGAAAGAUUUUGACAAGGCCCUGAAGCAUUAUGACAGGGCCAAGGAACUGGACCCUACUAAUAUGACUUACAUAACUAAUCAAGCAGCUGUGCACUUUGAGAAGGGCGACUAUAACAAAUGCCGGGAGCUCUGUGAAAAGGCCACUGAAGUGGGCAGAGAGAACCGAGAGGACUACAGGCAGAUCGCCAAAGCUUAUGCCCGAAUUGGCAAUUCCUAUUUCAAAGAAGAAAGUUACAAGGAUGCUAUCCAUUUCUAUAAUAAGUCUCUGGCAGAACACCGAACUCCAGAUGUGCUCAAGAAGUGCCAGCAGGCAGUGAAAAUUCUGAAGGAACAAGAGCGACUGGCUUAUAUCAACCCUGACUUAGCUUUGGAGGAGAAGAACAAGGGCAAUGAAUGCUUCCAGAAAGGUGACUACCCCCAGGCCAUGAAGCACUAUACAGAAGCCAUUAAAAGGAACCCAAGAGAUGCCAAACUGUACAGCAACCGAGCUGCCUGCUACACCAAGCUCCUGGAGUUUCAGUUGGCACUCAAGGACUGUGAGGAGUGCAUCCAGCUAGAGCCCACCUUCAUCAAGGGUUAUACACGGAAAGCAGCUGCUCUGGAAGCCAUGAAGGACUACACAAAAGCCAUGGAUGUGUACCAAAAAGCGUUAGACCUGGACUCCAGCUGUAAGGAAGCAGCAGAUGGUUACCAGCGCUGUAUGAUGGCACAGUACAACAGACAUGAUAGCCCUGAGGAUGUGAAACGGCGGGCCAUGGCUGACCCUGAGGUGCAGCAGAUAAUGAGUGACCCAGCCAUGAGGCUCAUCCUGGAGCAGAUGCAAAAGGACCCCCAGGCUCUG
This is an RNA transcript of Mastomys coucha (southern multimammate mouse), 1112 nucleotides long. It is a transcript of the gene named stress-induced-phosphoprotein 1 pseudogene, with no coding region annotated. NCBI's taxonomy places the organism in Eukaryota, Metazoa, Chordata, Mammalia, Rodentia, Muridae. The record is from RefSeq and is a predicted model, not a curated record. The transcript has a single exon.